Molecule: ribosomal RNA, 253 nt
Filed under: uncultured bacterium
Lineage: Bacteria
Description: partial 16S ribosomal RNA
Rfam family: Bacterial small subunit ribosomal RNA
Source: RNAcentral
UACGUAGGGCGCAAGCGUUAUCCGGAAUUAUUGGGCGUAAAGAGCUCGUAGGCGGUUUGUCGCGUCUGCCGUGAAAGUCCGGGGCUCAACUCCGGAUCUGCGGUGGGUACGGGCAGACUAGAGUUCGGUAGGGGAGUCUGGAAUUCCUGGUGUAGCGGUGAAAUGCGCAGAUAUCAGGAAGAACACCCGUGGCGAAGGCGGCUUUCUGGGACGGUACUGACGCUGAGACGCGAAAGCGUGGGGAGCGAACAGG